RNAcentral lists this unclassified non-coding RNA (463 nucleotides) under Hevea brasiliensis (rubber tree). The record is from RNAcentral. Lineage: Eukaryota; Viridiplantae; Streptophyta; Magnoliopsida; Malpighiales; Euphorbiaceae.
GAUUUACAUAGAAAUGACAGAUUUCAAAGUAGUGAAUAAGUUGACCUUUCAUGAAGAAGAGAAGGCUGAGAGGGUUACCAAAUCUCGUGCUAACAAAUCCGAUAGAGUUCUUAUUUGAUUUAACUAUUCUUAACCUUAUAUCUAAAAAAAAAAUGCCUGGUGUUAAUAUAAUAAUGUGCAAUUAUGGACAAUGUGCAAUGGUGGAAGAUAUUUGACAAUUGUACUAGAUUGUCACGACUAAUAGUUUGGUUGCAAUGGAGAGAGACCGGCAGCGUGAGCGUUUGGAGAGUGCAUGUAAUAAAUGAUGCAGAACAUGAUAACACAUAUGAUGCAGGGUACAAAGUUUACGGCCUGAGCUCUAAAUGCUACUCAUUAUGAUGAUGCUAGAUAUACAAAUGGUUAUGACAUUAUUGAUGAUGAUUAGCUUGUUUUGUUAUUCUUAUGAUAUUUUAUUUUUUCAUAC